Transfer RNA from Felis catus (domestic cat), 80 nucleotides. It matches the Rfam family "tRNA". Rfam says of the family: Transfer RNA (tRNA) molecules are approximately 80 nucleotides in length. NCBI's taxonomy places the organism in Eukaryota, Metazoa, Chordata, Mammalia, Carnivora, Felidae. The record is from Rfam.
GCCUGGGUGGCUCAGUUGGUUGAGCAUCUGACUUCAGGUCAUGAUCUCCCAGUUCGUGGGUUCAAGCCCUGCAUCAGGCU